UGUUAUGUGGGAUGCUAGCUUCAUAGAAAAAUUGACAUAUAUAUCCACAAGCCCUAUCCCUCCUCUUUUGUCUUUCCUGAGUUGACACCUUUGAUUGAACCUUUUCAGGUGCACAAUUUAUUUUUUGCUUCCUCUUGACAAUUUCUUCUACACUAGGCUUGCAAAAUUUGUCCAUAGGGCCACCCAUUGAGCUGCUUGUUCCUGAUUUUGGCCUCAACACCACAACCUGAUUGUCAUUGUCUUCAUCACUUUCAUUUUCUCCAUCGGAGUGAUCUAUGUCUACACUAGAUCUG
RNAcentral lists this long non-coding RNA (293 nucleotides) under Hordeum vulgare. RNAcentral's name for it is "long non-coding RNA (HVUL_LNC016728)". Lineage: Eukaryota; Viridiplantae; Streptophyta; Magnoliopsida; Poales; Poaceae. The record is from RNAcentral.